Molecule: transfer RNA, 73 nt
Filed under: Myxococcales bacterium
Lineage: Bacteria; Pseudomonadati; Myxococcota; Myxococcia; Myxococcales
Description: tRNA-Arg
Rfam family: tRNA
About the family: Transfer RNA (tRNA) molecules are approximately 80 nucleotides in length.
Source: RNAcentral
CGGCACGUAGCUCAACUGGAGGAGCGCCGCCGUCCGAAGGCGGAGGAUGGAGGUUCGACCCCUCUCGUGCCGG